UGCAGGCCUGGUGGUAGGUCAUGUGGGGUGAUGAGGGUUGCAUGCCUGGUGGUAGGUCAUGUGGGGUGAUGAGGGUUGCAUGCCUGGUGGGAGGUCAUGUGGGGUGAUGAGGGUUGCAUGCCUGGUGGUAGGUCAUGUGGGGUGAUGAGGGUUGCAUGCCUGGUGGUAGGUCAUGUGGGGUGAUGAGGGUUGCAUGCCUGGGCGGAGGUCAUGUGGGGUGAUGAGGGUUGCAUGCCUGGUGGGAGGUCAUGUGGGGUGAUGAGGGUUGCAUGCCUGGUGGGAGGUCAUGUGGGGUGAUGAGGGUUGCAUGCCUGGUGGGAGGUCAUGUGGGGUGAUGAGGG
This is a long non-coding RNA of Oncorhynchus tshawytscha (Chinook salmon), 341 nucleotides long. Lineage: Eukaryota; Metazoa; Chordata; Actinopteri; Salmoniformes; Salmonidae. The record is from Ensembl.